AUGACCUCAGAAAACUCCGCCUUUGGAAAGCCGCGCUUGCCGCCUCUCCCUUGCCCCCCGCCGUUCCCCCUCAAUUCUCACUUUUUGUUUAUCGACACGUCGUUGCCACCAGCAGGAGAACUGAAAAGACGAAACUUAGCUCCAAACGCCUUGGUUUUCCGGUCAGGAGUUCACCGGGUUUGCGCACCUCUUCGAGCGCUGCUUUUGCGAAGCGGGAGCGACUCCGGCAUCCCGCUUUCUUCCUCGGCGUUUUUCUUGGGAAUUCUGCGGGAGCCCCGCGGUUUCUCCCGGGCUGCGCUCCCCGGGCUCUGCAAGGCAGCCCCAGGACGCCGUGACCUCCCCUUGCCCCUCGCUCAAACGCCUCCAGAGGACUUGGGCAGCCCCUCGGCGGGACGAGGGGGGGCCCCCCCCCCUCGGCGGGACGAGGGGGGGCGGCGGAGCCCCCUCCGCUCCCCCAAAUCGCUCUCCGUACGGUCAAGCGCACAGAAUGGGCUGGAAAGGCGAGAUUUUGGGAAACCUGUGAAGAGAAUGGACGUGAUCUGCGUGUCGAAGCGAAGCUGAAGGAUCAGUAAGCCGCAGUUAACACCGGUCACUUCCACCGAGAUUUUGGGACGCUUUCUUGUUUUUGGUCUAUGUUGGUUUUAGUUCCCCCCCCCCCCCCCCCCCCCCCCCCCCCCCCCCCCCCCCCCCCCCCCCCCCCCCCCCCCCCCCCCCCCCCCCCCCC
RNAcentral lists this long non-coding RNA (724 nucleotides) under Ficedula albicollis (Collared flycatcher). RNAcentral's name for it is "lncRNA (ENSFALG00000028035.1)". The record is from RNAcentral. Lineage: Eukaryota; Metazoa; Chordata; Aves; Passeriformes; Muscicapidae.